Molecule: ribosomal RNA, 745 nt
Filed under: uncultured Parvimonas sp.
Lineage: Bacteria; Bacillati; Bacillota; Tissierellia; Tissierellales; Peptoniphilaceae
Description: bacterial SSU rRNA
Rfam family: Bacterial small subunit ribosomal RNA
Source: RNAcentral
GACGAACGCUGGCGGCGUGCUUAACACAUGCAAGUCGAACGUGAUUUUUGUGGAAAUUCUUUCGGGAAUGGAAAUGAAAUGAAAGUGGCGAACGGGUGAGUAACACGUGAGCAACCUACCUUACACAGGGGGAUAGCCGUUGGAAACGACGAUUAAUACCGCAUGAGACCACAGAAUCGCAUGAUAUAGGGGUCAAAGAUUUAUCGGUGUAAGAAGGGCUCGCGUCUGAUUAGCUAGUUGGAAGGGUAAAGGCCUACCAAGGCGACGAUCAGUAGCCGGUCUGAGAGGAUGAACGGCCACAUUGGAACUGAGACACGGUCCAAACUCCUACGGGAGGCAGCAGUGGGGAAUAUUGCACAAUGGGGGGAACCCUGAUGCAGCGACGCCGCGUGAGCGAAGAAGGUUUUCGAAUCGUAAAGCUCUGUCCUAUGAGAAGAUAAUGACGGUAUCAUAGGAGGAAGCCCCGGCUAAAUACGUGCCAGCAGCCGCGGUAAUACGUAUGGGGCGAGCGUUGUCCGGAUUUAUUGGGCGUAAAGCGCGUCUAGGUGGUUAUAUAAGUCUGAUGUGAAAAUGCAGGGCUCAACUCUGUAUUGCGUUGGAAACUGUAUAACUAGAGUACUGGAGAGGUAAGCGGAACUACAGUGUAGAGGUGAAAUUCGUAGAUAUUUGUAGGAAUGCCGAUGGGGAAGCCAGCUUACUGGACAGAUACUGACGCUAAAGCGCGAAAGCGUGGGUAGCUAACAGG